Molecule: long non-coding RNA, 393 nt
Organism: Gadus morhua (Atlantic cod)
Lineage: Eukaryota; Metazoa; Chordata; Actinopteri; Gadiformes; Gadidae
Exons: 3
Source: RefSeq, a predicted model, not a curated record
UGUCAACCGCCUAUUGCGGCCAAUACGGCCAAACCAUCAACACCAUUGGAUGUAACCAAUGAAGAUGAAUCUGCCUCAAAUGAUUCUGUGAUCAUCUCUCAAUCUGUGAAAUCGAGAUCUUCACGGACCUCGGCACAAAAAUUUGUGAAUGACCUCAUGCACGGGAUUUACUCAACGGAAUAUAUGGCGACACACAGCGUGUCGGGGUUAUCCUCAACGAAGGCAGCCAACGUCAAGGCGGCACUGCCUCGUGACCAUGUCAUGGAAAUUAUUGCUGAAGCACGCAAGGUCUUCCCCGAGGCAGCGGAAGCUGACAUCAGGCGCUUCAUGAGGGAAAAAUUGUCGAAUGCAGCCAAAAUUCUGCGGCGUAAAGAGAAGUCUGACCGGACUUAA